Molecule: ribosomal RNA, 417 nt
Filed under: uncultured bacterium
Lineage: Bacteria
Description: bacterial SSU rRNA
Rfam family: Bacterial small subunit ribosomal RNA
Source: RNAcentral
AAUAUUGGACAAUGGGCGCAAGCCUGAUCCAGCCAUGCCGCGUGAGUGAUGAAGGCCUUAGGGUCGUAAAGCUCUUUCGCCAGGGAUGAUAAUGACAGUACCUGGUAAAGAAACCCCCGGCUAACUCCGUGCCAGCAGCCGCGGUAAUACGGAGGGGGUUAGCGUUGUUCGGAAUUACUGGGCGUAAAGCGCGCGUAGGCGGGUUGUUAAGUUAGAGGUGAAAUCCCCGGGGCUCAACCCGGAACUGCCUUUAAUACUGGCAACCUAGAGUUCGAGAGAGGUGAGUGGAAUUCCGAGUGUAGAGGUGAAAUUCGUAGAUAUUCGGAGGAACACCAGUGGCGAAGGCGGCUCACUGGCUCGAUACUGACGCUGAGGUGCGAAAGUGUGGGGAGCAAACAGGAUUAGAUACCCUGGUAG